AGAAGUGAGAAUGCCGGUAUGAGUAGCGAAAGACAGGUGAGAAUCCUGUCCACCGAAUGACUAAGGUUUCCUGGGGAAGGCUCGUCCGCCCAGGGUUAGUCGGGACCUAAUCCGAGGCCGACAGGCGUAGGCGAUGGAUAACAGGUUGAUAUUCCUGUACCCGUUGUUUUUGUUUGAGCAAUGGAGGGACGCAGGAGGCUAAGGAAUGCAGACGAUCGGAA
Molecule: ribosomal RNA, 221 nt
Filed under: Enterococcus faecium
Lineage: Bacteria; Bacillati; Bacillota; Bacilli; Lactobacillales; Enterococcaceae
Description: partial 23S ribosomal RNA
Rfam family: Bacterial large subunit ribosomal RNA
Source: RNAcentral